Molecule: ribosomal RNA, 153 nt
Filed under: Cronobacter sakazakii 696
Lineage: Bacteria; Pseudomonadati; Pseudomonadota; Gammaproteobacteria; Enterobacterales; Enterobacteriaceae
Description: Large Subunit Ribosomal RNA; lsuRNA; LSU rRNA
Rfam family: Bacterial large subunit ribosomal RNA
Source: RNAcentral
AACGUCGUGAGACAGUUCGGUCCCUAUCUGCCGUGGGCGCUGGAGAAUUGAGGGGGGCUGCUCCCAGUACGAGAGGACCGGAGUGGACGCAUCACUGGUGUUCGGGUUGUCAUGCCAAUGGCACUGCCCGGUAGCUAAAUGCGGAAGAGAUAA